UAGCUUGCUAAUUAAGAUCUUAGUGGCGGACGGGUUAGUAACACGUGAGAACCUACCCUUUAGACAGGAAUAGCCCAUGGAAACGUGGAUUAAUGCCUGAUAGUCUCUAUGGAGUAAAUGGUGCCUUCGGGUAUCGCUAAAGGAUGGGCUCGCGGCCUAUCAGCUUGUUGGUGAGGUAAAGGCUCACCAAGGCGACGACGGGUAGCUGGUCUGAGAGGACGAUCAGCAACACUGGAACUGAGACACGGUCCAGACACCUACGGGUGGCAGCAGUCGAGAAUCAUUCACAAUGGAGGCAACUCUGAUGGUGCAACGCCGCGUGGAGGAUGACGGUCCUAGGAUUGUAAACUCCUGUCAUUGGGGAGUAAGACUUAAGCGUUAAGAGCGUUUAAGUUUGAUAGUACCCAAAGAGGAAGGGACGGCUAACUUCGUGCCAGCAGCCGCGGUAAUACGAAGGUCCCAAGCGUUGUUCGGAAUCACUGGGCGUAAAGCGUGUGUAGGCUGCGCGGAAAGUCAAAUGUGAAAGCCCGGGGCUCAACCUCGGAACUGCAUUCGAUACUCCCGUGCUAGAGUAAUGGAGAGGUAAGUGGAAUUCCUGGUGUAGCAGUGAAAUGCGUGGAUAUCAGGAGGAACAUCAAUGGCGAAGGCAACUUACUGGACAUUUACUGACGCUCAGACACGAAGGCUAGGGUAGCGAAAGGGAUUAGAUACCCCUGUAGUCCUAGCAGUAAACGGUGCUCGC
RNAcentral lists this ribosomal RNA (742 nucleotides) under Verrucomicrobia bacterium SCGC AAA164-B16. Its description in RNAcentral is "bacterial SSU rRNA". It matches the Rfam family "Bacterial small subunit ribosomal RNA", at positions 76 to 816 of the family's 1533-position model. The record is from RNAcentral. Lineage: Bacteria; Pseudomonadati; Verrucomicrobiota.